AUACGUAGGUGGCAAGCGUUGUCCGGAAUUAUUGGGUGUAAAGCGCAUGUAGGCGGUUUGGUAAGUCGGUCGUGAAAAUGCGGUGCUUAACGUCGUAUUGCGAUCGAAACUGCUGAACUUGAGUGCAGGAGAGGAAAGGGGAACUCCCAGUGUAGCGGUGCAAUGCGUAGAUAUUGGGAAGAACACCGGUGGCGAAGGCGCCUUUCUGGACUGUGUCUGACGCUCAGAUGCGAAAGCCAGGGUAGCGAACGGGAUUAGAUACCCCGGUAGUCCUGGCCGUAAACGAUGGGUACUAGGUGUGGGAGGUAUCGACUCCUUCCGUGCCGGAGUUAACGCAAUAAGUACCCCGCCUGGGGAGUACGGCCGCAAGGCUUAAACUCAAAUGAAUUGACGGGG
Molecule: ribosomal RNA, 396 nt
Filed under: uncultured bacterium
Lineage: Bacteria
Description: partial 16S ribosomal RNA
Rfam family: Bacterial small subunit ribosomal RNA
Source: RNAcentral